AUCCGGAUGGCUUAGUGGUCAGAGCCUCUGCUUAGUAAGCAGGAGACCUGGGUUUGAAUCCCCGUCUGGGUA
Schistocerca americana (American grasshopper) is the source of this 72-nucleotide non-coding RNA. Lineage: Eukaryota; Metazoa; Arthropoda; Insecta; Orthoptera; Acrididae. The record is from the annotation of a RefSeq genome assembly.